This 447-nucleotide ribosomal RNA is filed under the name uncultured bacterium. RNAcentral describes it as "bacterial SSU rRNA". It matches the Rfam family "Bacterial small subunit ribosomal RNA", at positions 329 to 793 of the family's 1533-position model. The record is from RNAcentral.
UUCCAGACUCCUACGGGAGGCAGCAGUGGGGAAUAUUGCACAAUGGGGGGAACCCUGAUGCAGCGACGCCGCGUGAGCGAUGAAGUAUUUCGGUAUGUAAAGCUCUAUCAGCAGGGAAGAAAAUGACGGUACCUGACUAAGAAGCCCCGGCUAACUACGUGCCAGCAGCCGCGGUAAUACGUAGGGGGCAAGCGUUAUCCGGAUUUACUGGGUGUAAAGGGAGCGUAGACGGCUGUGCAAGUCUGGAGUGAAAGGCAUGGGCUCAACCUGUGGACUGCUUUGGAAACUGUGCAGCUUGAGUGUCGGAGAGGCAAGUGGAAUUCCUAGUGUAGCGGUGAAAUGCGUAGAUAUUAGGAGGAACACCAGUGGCGAAGGCGGCUUGCUGGACGAUGACUGACGUUGAGGCUCGAAAGCGUGGGGAGCAAACAGGAUUAGAUACCCGCGUAC